GACGAACGCUGGCGGCGUGCUUAACACAUGCAAGUCGAACGGAAAGGCCCCCUUGUGGGGUACUCGAGUGGCGAACGGGUGAGUAACACGUGAGUAACCUACCCUUGACUUUGGGAUAACUUCAGGAAACUGGGGCUAAUACCGGAUAGGAGCUCCUGCUGCAUGGUGGGGGUUGGAAAGUUUCGGCGGUUGGGGAUGGGCUCGCGGCUUAUCAGCUUGUUGGUGGGGUAGUGGCUCACCAAGGCUUUGACGGGUAGCCGGCCUGAGAGGGUGACCGGCCACAUUGGGACUGAGAUACGGCCCAGACUCCUACGGGAGGCAGCAGUGGGGAAUAUUGCACAAUGGGCGGAAGCCUGAUGCAGCAACGCCGCGUGCGGGAUGACGGCCUUCGGGUUGUAAACCGCUUUCGCCUGUGACGAAGCGUGAGUAACGGUAAUGGGUAAAGAAGCACCGGCUAACUACGUG
RNAcentral lists this ribosomal RNA (465 nucleotides) under uncultured bacterium. Its description in RNAcentral is "partial 16S ribosomal RNA". It matches the Rfam family "Bacterial small subunit ribosomal RNA", at positions 28 to 507 of the family's 1533-position model. The record is from RNAcentral.